RNAcentral lists this ribosomal RNA (492 nucleotides) under uncultured bacterium. Its description in RNAcentral is "partial 16S ribosomal RNA". It matches the Rfam family "Bacterial small subunit ribosomal RNA", at positions 29 to 507 of the family's 1533-position model. The record is from RNAcentral.
AGUGAACGCUGGCGGUAGGCCUAACACAUGCAAGUCGAACGGCAGCACAGUAAGAGCUUGCUCUUACGGGUGGCGAGUGGCGGACGAGUGAGGAAUACAUCGGAAUCUACUUUUUCGUGGGGGAUAACGUAGGGAAACUUACGCUAAUACCGCAUACGACCUACGGGUGAAAGCAGGGGAUCUUCGGACCUUGCGCGAUUGAAUGAGCCGAUGUCGGAUUAGCUAGUUGGCGGGGUAAAGGCCCACCAAGGCGACGAUCCGUAGCUGGUCUGAGAGGAUGAUCGGCCACACUGGAACUGAGACACGGUCCAGACUCCUACGGGAGGCAGCAGUAGGGAAUAUUGGACAAUGGGCGCAAGCCUGAUCCAGCCAUGCCGCGUGAGUGAAGAAGGCCUUCGGGUUGUAAAGCCCUUUUGUUGGGAAAGAAAAGCAGCAGGUUAAUACCCCGCUGUUCUGACGGUACCCAAAGAAUAAGCACCGGCUAACUUCGUG